AUUCCAGCUCCAAGAGCGUAUAUUAAAGUUGUUGCAGUUAAAAAGCUCGUAGUUGGAUUUCUGGUACAAUGCGCCUGGCCCGCGGCAGCAAUGCCUGUGAGUGCCGGUGCGCGUUUGCCAUCCUUCUAGAAAACGUUUCUACCCUUUACUGGGCCGGACUCGCGAUCUAGAUCUUUUACUUUGAAAAAAUUAGAGUGUUCAAAGCAGGCUUUUGCUGUGAAUACAUUAGCAUGGAAUAAUAAUCUAGGACUUCGGUUUUAUUUUGUUGGUUUCUAACACUGAAGUAAUGAUUGAUAGGGAUAGUUGGGGGUGCUAGUAUUGGCCGGCCAGAGGUGAAAUUCUUGGAUUCGGUCAAGACUAACUUAUGCGAAAGCAUUCACCAAGGAUGUCUUCAUUA
Molecule: ribosomal RNA, 397 nt
Filed under: Protaspa sp.
Lineage: Eukaryota; Cercozoa; Thecofilosea; Cryomonadida; Protaspidae
Description: partial small subunit ribosomal RNA
Rfam family: Eukaryotic small subunit ribosomal RNA
Source: RNAcentral